GUGUCAGCAGCCGCGGUAAUACAGAGGUGGCAAGCGUUGUUCGGAAUUACUGGGCGUAAAGGGCGCGUAGGCGGUCUUCUAAGUCUUGUGUGAAAUCCCUCGGCUCAACUGAGGAACUGCACGGGAUACUGGAAGACUUGAGUUCGGGAGAGGGAAGCGGAAUUCCGGGUGUAGCGGUGAAAUGCGUAGAUAUCCGGAGGAACACCGGUGGCGAAGGCGGCUUCCUGGACCGAUUACUGACGCUGAGGCGCGAAAGCUAGGGGAGCAAACGGGAUUAGAAACCCCCGUAGUCC
This 293-nucleotide ribosomal RNA is filed under the name uncultured bacterium. RNAcentral's name for it is "partial 16S ribosomal RNA". It matches the Rfam family "Bacterial small subunit ribosomal RNA", at positions 505 to 796 of the family's 1533-position model. The record is from RNAcentral.